This 253-nucleotide ribosomal RNA is filed under the name uncultured bacterium. RNAcentral describes it as "partial 16S ribosomal RNA". It matches the Rfam family "Bacterial small subunit ribosomal RNA", at positions 524 to 776 of the family's 1533-position model. The record is from RNAcentral.
UACGUAGGGCCCGAGCAUUAUCCGGAAUUAUUGGGCGUAAAGAGUGUGUAGGUUUCUUUACAAGUCGGUCGUUAAAUCUCAGAGCUUAACUCUGAGGCUGCGAGCGAUACUGUAGAGAUAGAGGUUUGCAGGGGUGAGCAGAAUUUCUGGAGUAGGGGUGAAAUCCGUUGAUACCAGAAGGAAUACCAAUGGCGAAGGCAGCUCACUAGGCAAUACCUGACACUGAGACGCGAAAGCGUGGGGAGCAAACGGG